GCCUAGCCCCGAUUGAAGCAUUUGUUUGAGCUCAUUUUAUUAGUUUGGGCUUCGGCGGCGAAGCCGCCGCAGCCCAAACUAAUAAAAUAGCGAGUGCGGAAAGCGGGAACAGCU
RNAcentral lists this unclassified non-coding RNA (114 nucleotides) under Chryseobacterium taichungense. Its description in RNAcentral is "Flavo-1 RNA". The record is from RNAcentral. Lineage: Bacteria; Pseudomonadati; Bacteroidota; Flavobacteriia; Flavobacteriales; Weeksellaceae.